UCGAUGAAGAACGCAGCGAAAUGCGAUACGUGGUGUGAAUUGCAGAAUCCCGCGAACCAUCGAAUCUUUGAACGCAAGUUGCGCCCGAGGCCGCUGGGCCGAGGGCACGCCUGCCUGGGCGUCACGC
RNAcentral lists this ribosomal RNA (127 nucleotides) under Homalomena havilandii. RNAcentral's name for it is "5.8S ribosomal RNA". It matches the Rfam family "5.8S ribosomal RNA", at positions 33 to 154 of the family's 154-position model. From Rfam's summary of the family: 5.8S ribosomal RNA (5.8S rRNA) is a component of the large subunit of the eukaryotic ribosome. It is transcribed by RNA polymerase I as part of the 45S precursor that also contains 18S and 28S rRNA. The record is from RNAcentral. Lineage: Eukaryota; Viridiplantae; Streptophyta; Magnoliopsida; Alismatales; Araceae.